Molecule: long non-coding RNA, 551 nt
Filed under: Nicotiana benthamiana
Lineage: Eukaryota; Viridiplantae; Streptophyta; Magnoliopsida; Solanales; Solanaceae
Description: long non-coding RNA (NBEN_LNC038844)
Source: RNAcentral
GUACCGAUAACACCCAAAACAUCAGCAAAAAUGAAUAUCAAACCACCGGAUGGCAGUCAAACAAUCGAUUUGACCACCAGAAACCCUAGAGGUUGAAAACUCACCGAAAAAUCUCCGAAAAUCUCGCAACAAUCGAUUGAACCAUUCAAGAGAGGAAGAACAGUCACUGAUCGUGAAGAUAAAGGCUCGGAAGAACCCUAAUGGGAGUCAAAACCAUCACCGACCUUUCGAUCUCAGAAAACCCCAAAAAUCUCAUCAGAGAAUGGUUCAACAGAAACCCUAGAGGUUGAAAACUCACCGAAAAAUCUCCGAAAAUCUCACAACAAUCGAUUGAACCAUUCAAGAGACGAAGAACAGUCACUGAUCGUGAAGAUAAAGGCUCGGAAGAACCCUAAUGGGAGUCAAAGCCAUCACCGACCUUUCGAUCUCAGAAAACCCCAAAAAUCUCAUCAGAGAACGGUUCAAAUAAACUACUGAUUCACACAAAAGUAUCAUCGGAUCAUUAUAGAGGCUCUGAUAUCAUGAAAACAUGCAAAAGAUCGAAGAAUUUU